Molecule: long non-coding RNA, 534 nt
Organism: Photinus pyralis (common eastern firefly)
Lineage: Eukaryota; Metazoa; Arthropoda; Insecta; Coleoptera; Lampyridae
Exons: 3
Source: RefSeq, a predicted model, not a curated record
CGAAUUUUUAAAAUUUAUAAAUUAUAAAUUACUUAAUAUUUACCCUUCAGGGGAUUUGUUUAAUUAAAAGUGUCUCUUUGUAAACUAAUCAGUUGUACGUCCGCUAAAUUUAUUUGGAAAUUAUAGCAGUCGUCAUUACCAAUUAUAAUUGAGAAUUAUAUACUUUAUAAGUGCAUUAUUGGCACACAAUAUUGUCAGGAAGUCCGCAUACGGACUCUUGAGUAACGGAGUCAGAGACCGUCAGUAAAGCUCCAAAUAGGUUGGGAACCCUAAGAAACGACAUUCUGCAGUGGCCGAUAAAACAGCGCCAAAAUCAAGGGAGUUUUCGUCAACAAAGAUAAGUCAACUUACCAGUACCAGCCUCAUAUGUCCGUCAUUUACUUACCUUCAUAUAUCGUUCCUGUUUAAUACUACUGUUUUCCGAUACCUAUACAGUAAAUUGAUAAUGUCUUUAUUGUGUACCGAUACCGACCGGUAAAUGUUGUAUCAUAAUUAAACUCAAAUCAUUGAGGUGACCGGUCGAAGCACUUUGAA